GUUUGCACUCAUCGGGGAAGGGUGAGAACCUUCGACUAAGGUUCGAUUCGAGCGAAAGCGAGAGAACGUUGCCACAGGCAACGGCCCGAAGGGUGAGGAGCGAAGCGACGAAUAAUUCUUCCCCCACCACCA
RNAcentral lists this small RNA (132 nucleotides) under Escherichia coli. RNAcentral describes it as "RtT sRNA". It matches the Rfam family "RtT RNA". From Rfam's summary of the family: This family represents a bacterial cis-regulatory element known as RtT RNA. The exact function of RtT is unknown although it is thought that it may be involved in changing the cellular response in relation to amino acid starvation. Lineage: Bacteria; Pseudomonadati; Pseudomonadota; Gammaproteobacteria; Enterobacterales; Enterobacteriaceae. The record is from RNAcentral.